GAUCCUGGCUCAGGACGAACGCUGGCGGCGUGCUUAACACAUGCAAGUCGAACGGAGCACCCUUGACUGAGGUUUCAGCCAAAUGAUAGGAAUGCUUAGUGGCGGACUGGUGAGUAACGCGUGAGGAACCUGCCUUUCAGAGGGGGAUAACCCGGCGAAAGUCGGACUAAUACCGCAUGAAGCAGGGAUCCCGCAUGGGAAUAUUUGCUAAAGAUUCAUCGCUGAUAGAUAGGCA
RNAcentral lists this ribosomal RNA (235 nucleotides) under uncultured bacterium. RNAcentral's name for it is "partial 16S ribosomal RNA". It matches the Rfam family "Bacterial small subunit ribosomal RNA", at positions 15 to 231 of the family's 1533-position model. The record is from RNAcentral.